CGCGGAGUGGAGCAGCUGGUAGCUCGCCAGGCUCAUAACCUGGAGGUCGCGCGUUCAAAUCGAGCCUCCGCAA
RNAcentral lists this transfer RNA (73 nucleotides) under Caudoviricetes sp. RNAcentral describes it as "tRNA-Met". It matches the Rfam family "tRNA". Rfam says of the family: Transfer RNA (tRNA) molecules are approximately 80 nucleotides in length. Their secondary structure includes four short double-helical elements and three loops (D, anti-codon, and T loops). Further hydrogen bonds mediate the characteristic L-shaped molecular structure. tRNAs have two regions of fundamental functional importance: the anti-codon, which is responsible for specific mRNA codon recognition, and the 3' end, to which the tRNAs corresponding amino acid is attached (by aminoacyl-tRNA synthetases). tRNAs cope with the degeneracy of the genetic code in two manners: having more than one tRNA (with a specific anti-codon) for a particular amino acid; and 'wobble' base-pairing, i.e. permitting non-standard base-pairing at the 3rd anti-codon position. The record is from RNAcentral. Lineage: Duplodnaviria; Heunggongvirae; Uroviricota; Caudoviricetes.